UACGUAGGGUGCAAGCGUUAAUCGGAAUUACUGGGCGUAAAGCGUGCGCAGGCGGUUUUGUAAGUUUGUCGUGAAAGCCCCGGGCUCAACCUGGGAAUUGCGAUGAAGACUGCAAGGCUUGAAUCUGGCAGAGGGGGGUAGAAUUCCACGUGUAGCAGUGAAAUGCGUAGAGAUGUGGAGGAACACCGAUGGCGAAGGCAGCCCCCUGGGUCAAGAUUGACGUUCAUGCACGAAAGCGUGGGGAGCAAACAGG
RNAcentral lists this ribosomal RNA (253 nucleotides) under uncultured bacterium. RNAcentral's name for it is "partial 16S ribosomal RNA". It matches the Rfam family "Bacterial small subunit ribosomal RNA", at positions 524 to 776 of the family's 1533-position model. The record is from RNAcentral.